Musa acuminata AAA Group (dessert banana) is the source of this 1894-nucleotide long non-coding RNA. RefSeq lists it as uncharacterized. The record is from RefSeq and is a predicted model, not a curated record. The transcript is spliced from 3 exons. Lineage: Eukaryota; Viridiplantae; Streptophyta; Magnoliopsida; Zingiberales; Musaceae.
UUUGUAUCGACACCAGAGGGCUGACGUGCUUCUUCCUUCCCACUGACAGCUGCUCUUCACGCGAAGAAGGCAUCAUGUUUUGGACCAAGUUCGAGGUUUGUUUUCAUGCCGCCAAUUGUGUUCGGCCCCCUCCCACCUUCAUUUGAAGAGGACGUGUCGACGGAGCUGAAGCGGAUACGAAGGCUGCAGCAGCUGUAGAAGAGGAGGCGAGGAACUGGAAGCCAUGGCGAUGUGGAAACACUUGGUGGGCAGGAGAUUACCAGGCCACUUUUGGCAGUGGCAUUAGUGGCGAUGGUGCUGCUGCUAGUGGAGAUGUCCGGCACCUAUAGAGGCUUGUCCCCUGAUGUGCUGCUUAAUGCAACCAGCAAAGAGGAGAUCUCCGAGUUGAUUGUUCUGCGUCGUUCAGAGAUGAACGUCCAAAGGACAGGCUUCUUGGAGGGCUGCUAAGCCCUGAAUUCGACGAGGCUUCUUGCCUGAGCCGCUACCAGUCGGCACUGUACUGGAAGCAAUCAGACCACACCCCUUCUCCAUACCUCCUGCGGAAGCUUCGAAACUAUGAAUCCCUACACAGAAGAUGUGCCCCCAACACCGAGCUCUACAACAAGUCCAUAGAGCAGCUGAAGUCCAAUGCCAGCGCAGGGCCUUCGGAGUGCAACUACGUGGUGUGGCUGGAAUCCGGAGGCAUCGGCAACAGGGUCAUCAGUAUGGUCUCCACAUUCCUGUAUGCCCUCCUCAACGACAAGGUAUUCCUCCUCAAACUUCCUGAUGACUUCCAUGGCAUCUUCUGCGAGCCAUUCCCCGGGACCUCGUGGCUUCUAUCUUCAGACUUUCCUAUUCAAGACCUCGACGGGUUCGAUAUUAGUCAUCCUCAGAGUUACGGAGACAUGCUACGAACUAAGUUUGCUCUUCCUGAGAAAGCCGUUCUCCAUCUGAGCAGAUACAUUCUUCACCCUACUUAGAUUUGAUUCAUAGUUAUCUAUCUAGAUAGUUAUCAUGAUCUAGUGGUUAUAUGAUAAUUUCAAUAACUACCUCAAUCUUGAUAUAGUAGUUAUAUGUUGGUGAUGAUUGUCACUAGGUCCUAUAAAUAAAACUGUAGUACAUUUGGUAUCUUGUAAGUAUUCUUAUCAAUCCUCCUGUUUUUAAAUAUUACAUCAGUUUUCUUGAGUCGAAACGAUUCUUUUUACUGGUAUCGUAGUAUUCUGUUUUUUUCUUGCUCCUCAAUCCCCAACAUUUGUGGUAUCAGAGCCUUCUCGGGCAAAAGCUAUGAAUUUUGGAGUAUCAAGAUGAAGACUCUAUUCAAGUCUCAAGAUCUUCGGGACUUAAUAGAGAAUGGAUAUGAGGAUCCAGAUGACGAAAUCAGGCUGAGGGAGAAUAGAAAAAAGGACUCAAAGGCAUUGUUUUUCAUUCAACAAAGCUGUAUAUGAGAUGAUCUUCUCAAAAAUUACAACAGCGAUAAACUCAAAGCAAGCUUGGUUGAUACUUCAAAAUGAAUUUCAAGGCUCAUUAAGGGUGAUUAUGGUCACUUGAAAAAAGUGAAGAAAAAAUAUUUCAGGUUAAGGAGGAGUCUUCUACUUCAAAAGAAACAAAAAAUCAACAGGAAGAGGACGUGACAGAGGAGGAUUUCGUGAUAGAGGAAAUGGAAGAGGAAGAUGACACUUUGAUGGGCAUGAUGAACAAGGGCAAUCAAAUUAUGAUAAAAAAAAUUACAAGAGUGGAAUUCAAUGUCACUACUGUAAAAAGUUUGAUUACAUGAAGGCAGAUUGUUGGAAAAGAGAAAAGCAAGCAAGCUAUGUGGAGAAAAAUGAAGAAAAUAGUAAGUUGUUUAUGACUCAUUCACAAGUUCAUAAUAUCUCAAAUGAUAUUUGGUUUCUGGAUAGUGGAUGUUCUAAUCAUA